GGGGUAUUAGCUCAGCUGGGAGAGCGUCCCGAUGGCAUCGGGAAGGUCAGCGGUUCGAACCCGCUAUGCUCCACCA
This 76-nucleotide transfer RNA is filed under the name Candidatus Cloacimonadota bacterium. RNAcentral describes it as "tRNA-Ala". It matches the Rfam family "tRNA". From Rfam's summary of the family: Transfer RNA (tRNA) molecules are approximately 80 nucleotides in length. The record is from RNAcentral. Lineage: Bacteria; Pseudomonadati; Candidatus Cloacimonadota.